Molecule: ribosomal RNA, 154 nt
Filed under: Hydnum sp. 18 BF-2016
Lineage: Eukaryota; Fungi; Basidiomycota; Agaricomycetes; Cantharellales; Hydnaceae
Description: 5.8S ribosomal RNA
Rfam family: 5.8S ribosomal RNA
About the family: 5.8S ribosomal RNA (5.8S rRNA) is a component of the large subunit of the eukaryotic ribosome. It is transcribed by RNA polymerase I as part of the 45S precursor that also contains 18S and 28S rRNA.
Source: RNAcentral
ACAACUUUUAACAACGGAUCUCUUGGCUCUUGCAUCGAUGAAGAACGCAGCGAAAUGCGAUAAGUAAUGUGAAUUGCAGAAUUCAGUGAAUCAUCGAAUCUUUGAACGCACCUUGCGCUCUCUGGUAUUCCGGGGAGCACGCCUGUUCGAGUGU